AUGAAUACUUUGCAUAUCAUUCUAUAUCAUCUUGAUAAGCUUCAUGCGCUUUGUCACAGACAAUCUUGCCGCACGGAAUCAUACUUACUUCAUGGAUACUUUGUGUGCGCUAACCAUUGUAUUUCCAAGUGUACUUUGUGUUUGCUCAUUUUGCAUGUACCACAUACUGGAGACACCUUAGAGUACUUGGAUUGUGCAAUGCCUUCAUCUACGUCCAACUACAAGUCCGUCCACGACAACCGUUUCCAUGGUUAUGAGGAUCACGAUCCGAGGUCGGAUCUUUCCCAAGGGGGGGAGAUGAUGCGGAGCAUCCCACGAUCAUCCCCAUGUACACUUCGACAACUCCCCAAGCCCCAAGAGGACAUACGAUGA
Molecule: ribosomal RNA, 372 nt
Filed under: Triticum aestivum (bread wheat)
Lineage: Eukaryota; Viridiplantae; Streptophyta; Magnoliopsida; Poales; Poaceae
Description: partial small subunit ribosomal RNA
Source: RNAcentral